RNAcentral lists this transfer RNA (75 nucleotides) under Desulfobacterales bacterium PC51MH44. RNAcentral describes it as "tRNA-Val". It matches the Rfam family "tRNA". From Rfam's summary of the family: Transfer RNA (tRNA) molecules are approximately 80 nucleotides in length. The record is from RNAcentral. RNAcentral also lists the same sequence under 7 other names. Lineage: Bacteria; Pseudomonadati; Thermodesulfobacteriota; Desulfobacteria; Desulfobacterales.
AGGCACGUAGCUCAGGGGGAGAGCGCUACCUUGACACGGUAGAGGUCGUUGGUUCAAAUCCAAUCGUGCCUACCA